RNAcentral lists this unclassified non-coding RNA (289 nucleotides) under uncultured fungus. RNAcentral's name for it is "sequence contains ITS1". The stretch from base 1 to 104 matches the Rfam family "5.8S ribosomal RNA", at positions 50 to 154 of the family's 154-position model. The record is from RNAcentral. Lineage: Eukaryota; Fungi.
GAAAUGCGAAAAGUAAUGUGAAUUGCAGAUACCGUGAAUCAUCAAAUCUUUGAACGCACAUUGCACUGCCUGGAACUCCGGGCAGUAUACCUGUUUGAGCAUCAGUAGCAACUCUCUCCACAUUACAUUGAGUUGUAGUGUUGGAGGAGGUGAGUGUCCACGUAUUUAUAUGCGUGUCACUUUAAAUGCACCCAGCGCAAGAGCGACAGUGUUAACUUAAUAUCUGCCACUCUCGCACACCACAAUAAUCAAUGAUCUCAAAUCAGGUAUGACCACCCGCUGAACUUAA